AGCCCACCUGGCAAUAUUCUAAAAGUGGAACGAUACACAGAAAAUUAGCAUGGCCCCUGCGCAACAAUAACGCUCAAAAUCGUGAAGCGUUUCACAAUUUU
Small nuclear RNA from Dermacentor albipictus, 101 nucleotides. NCBI's taxonomy places the organism in Eukaryota, Metazoa, Arthropoda, Arachnida, Ixodida, Ixodidae. The record is from RefSeq and is a predicted model, not a curated record.